Molecule: ribosomal RNA, 464 nt
Filed under: Vreelandella stevensii
Lineage: Bacteria; Pseudomonadati; Pseudomonadota; Gammaproteobacteria; Oceanospirillales; Halomonadaceae
Description: partial 16S ribosomal RNA
Rfam family: Bacterial small subunit ribosomal RNA
Source: RNAcentral
CCUACGGGGGGCUGCAGUGGGGAAUAUUGGACAAUGGGGGGAACCCUGAUCCAGCCAUGCCGCGUGUGUGAAGAAGGCCCUCGGGUUGUAAAGCACUUUCAGUGAGGAAGAACGCCUGGUGGUUAAUACCCAUCAGGAAAGACAUCACUCACAGAAGAAGCACCGGCUAACUCCGUGCCAGCAGCCGCGGUAAUACGGAGGGUGCGAGCGUUAAUCGGAAUUACUGGGCGUAAAGCGCGCGUAGGUGGCUUGAUAAGCCGGUUGUGAAAGCCCCGGGCUCAACCUGGGAACGGCAUCCGGAACUGUCAAGCUAGAGUGCAGGAGAGGAAGGUAGAAUUCCCGGUGUAGCGGUGAAAUGCGUAGAGAUCGGGAGGAAUACCAGUGGCGAAGGCGGCCUUCUGGACUGACACUGACACUGAGGUGCGAAAGCGUGGGUAGCAAACAGGAUUAGAUACCCUUGUGUC